UGUAAGUACUACAUAUUGAAUAUGGAUUUGAAAAGAAGGUAUUUGUUAUUUGCUUUUGUUUUUAGAUUUUUCUUCUCCAUCCUGUCUCUCGUGAGUAGCAGGUAUAACUCUGGAAACAUGAAUAUGUUUGAAUGAACGUAUGAGUCAACUGGGCUAACAUCAAAAUUAGAAUGACUCUGGAUCUAAAUAGCCACUUAUGUUAAACAUUAGAUAAUUGCUUCUACAUGGAUGGAAACCAAGAUGAAAUGUGUCAAGAAGGAUUUAUUUCAAAAGAGUGCAUUCUUAAAAGAUUUCAAAGCAUCAGAUAACAAACUGAUGCUUCAGGAGGGAAGGAGCUUUAGUUUCAAGUUCUUUGGGGAGUUGCUCCAAGUAUUAACUGCUGGCCAGGGUGUCAUCACCAAGGAUGUGGCUGCAAGAGGGAAGAGGAGAUGGGGAGAUUCAGCGAGACACACAAGCAGAGGCAGGUCCUGUCUGAAGGAGAGGGACAAACUCAGCUUUCUGAUACAAAUGGUGAGUGAGAUUCUGUCAAGCUCCAAUUUGUGGUGGUGGAGGAGGACUGAUUCUGGAUAUUCCUUUGCAGAGCAAAUGUAACAGCCUCCUAUCACCUCUCCUGUGUCUUGCUUUCCAAAGCCAGG
Molecule: long non-coding RNA, 635 nt
Filed under: Cyanistes caeruleus (blue tit)
Lineage: Eukaryota; Metazoa; Chordata; Aves; Passeriformes; Paridae
Description: lncRNA (ENSCCEG00000024029.1)
Source: RNAcentral